Molecule: ribosomal RNA, 497 nt
Filed under: uncultured bacterium
Lineage: Bacteria
Description: partial 16S ribosomal RNA
Rfam family: Bacterial small subunit ribosomal RNA
Source: RNAcentral
GAUGAACGCUGGCGGCGUGCCUAAUACAUGCAAGUCGAGCGAACGGACGAGAAGCUUGCUUCUUUGACGUUAGCGGCGGACGGGUGAGUAACACGUGGAUAACCUACCUAUAAGACUGGGAUAACUUCGGGAAACCGGAGCUAAUACCGGAUGAUAUUUUGAACCGCAUGGUUCAAUAGUGAAAGACGGUCUUGCUGUCACUUAUAGAUGGACCUGCGCUGCAUUAGCUAGUUGGUAAGGUAACGGCUUACCAAGGCAACGAUGCAUAGCCGACCUGAGAGGGUGAUCGGCCACACUGGAACUGAGACACGGUCCAGACUCCUACGGGAGGCAGCAGUAGGGAAUCUUCCGCAAUGGGCGAAAGCCUGACGGAGCAACGCCGCGUGAGUGAUGAAGGUCUUCGGAUCGUAAAACUCUGUUAUUAGGGAAGAACAAAUGUGUAAGUAACUGUGCACAUCUUGACGGUACCUAAUCAGAAAGCCACGGCUAACUACGUG